RNAcentral lists this ribosomal RNA (774 nucleotides) under uncultured Neocallimastigales. RNAcentral's name for it is "partial large subunit ribosomal RNA". It matches the Rfam family "Eukaryotic large subunit ribosomal RNA", at positions 23 to 616 of the family's 3401-position model. Lineage: Eukaryota; Fungi; Neocallimastigomycota; Neocallimastigomycetes; Neocallimastigales. The record is from RNAcentral.
AGAGAGAGACAUGCGCGCAUAUCAAUAAGCGGAGGAAAAGAAACUAACAAGGAUUCCCCUAGUAACGGCGAGUGAAGCGGGAAGAGCUCAAAUUUGAAAUCUUAAAGGGUUUCCCUUUACGAAUUGUAGUUUAAAGAAGUGUUUUCUGUUGAGGUUUUGGUAAAAGUUCUUUGGAAUAGGACAUCAUAGAGGGUGAGAAUCCCGUAUUUGACCUUUACUUUCAACUUUGUGAUACACUUUCAAAGAGUCGGAUUGUUUGGGAAUGCAGUCCAAAAUGGGUGGUAAAUUUCAUCUAAAGCUAAAUAUUGGCGAGAGACCGAUAGCGAACAAGUACCGUGAGGGAAAGAUGAAAAGAACUUUGAAAAGAGAGUUAAACAGUACGUGAAAUUGUCAAAAGGGAAGCGUUUGACACCAGUGUUGUUUUUCUGAAAAUCAAUUAAAGAACUGUUUAUGCUAAGUUGUUUAGACUUUAUCAGCUAACUGUUUAGUUUUGAGCUUUUCUUUAAUGCACUUUUCAGUUAACAAGUCAACAUCAAUUUCUUUUGCUGUAAAAAAGCUUGAGGAAGGUGGCUUGAGAUUCGUCUUAAGUGUUUAUAGCCUCUUGCCUAUGCAGUCGGAGAGAUUGAGGUCUGCAGCGUAGAUCCUUCGGGGCUAAAUGCAUUUGUGCUAAGUUAUAACAUUUUAUAGACAACUUGUUGACUAUGAUUUGUCUUGUAGCUUACUCGCUUAUGUAAUUUUACCUACGCUUAGGAUGUUGAGCGCAUGUCUCUCUCU